GUGCCUGUGGCUCAAAGAAGUAGAGUGCUGGCCCCAUAUGCCAGAGGUGGCAGGUUCAAAUCCAGCCCUGGCCA
Molecule: transfer RNA, 74 nt
Filed under: Otolemur garnettii (small-eared galago)
Lineage: Eukaryota; Metazoa; Chordata; Mammalia; Primates; Galagidae
Rfam family: tRNA
About the family: Transfer RNA (tRNA) molecules are approximately 80 nucleotides in length.
Source: Rfam by way of RNAcentral